Oncorhynchus masou masou (cherry salmon) is the source of this 921-nucleotide long non-coding RNA. RefSeq lists it as uncharacterized. NCBI's taxonomy places the organism in Eukaryota, Metazoa, Chordata, Actinopteri, Salmoniformes, Salmonidae. The record is from RefSeq and is a predicted model, not a curated record. The transcript is spliced from 3 exons.
UCAAAUAAGCCUCACAUAGUAAAUUAGCAAUUACAUUUUUUUGCUGACCAAUUUCGACAAUCUCUCUCGGUGACUUCAACACAAAAAUUCCACACUUCUUGGGCUUAUUUUCAUGGACAGAUUUUGGGUUGAAUAAAACCAAAGAUUUUAUAACUAAACCAAGAUAACCCACAGCCUGUCGUUUCAAACGGAAACAAAUGAGUCAUAGUGGGCAGAACAAGCAAGGAGGUUGGCAGAGCCAAGCACGAUUUCGCGAGAACCUAUUGGUUCGUUCUGUCAUGUAUUUGCAUAUUUCCGUUAGAGAGCGCCGACUCUGCGAAGUGCGCUUGUGCCUUUGCGCCCCUUCAAAACAAUGCGAAUUUAAAAAAAGUCUAAUUGGGUAAAGUCUGUCGUAACAUAUUUUAGAUUUUGGAAAAUAAAACUGUAUUGAGAUUAAAUAUUUAAUCGAUGAGAAAAUUAGUAAAAUGUUCGAAUACAUCCAAUCUUCUCCCCACUGAUUUUGGUAUUGGCCAUAUUUGGUAGUGAGGGGAAAUGCCAAGCGGAAGCUUCAAAUAGAUACAUCCGGUGAAAUAUUUGUCUCAUUGUUCUGUGGUAAAAACCUUUUUGGCUUCGCGUCUUCACGGCCCGGUCCACAUCUGGGAGGGUCAACCGGGUCGAUGCAGCGACAAGACGGGAAGUGGAUGAACUUGCGCCACUAAACGAUAUAUUUUCACAGUACGCAAAUGACCUGAUUUUUUAAAAAUUAAUUUUAUUUUUGGAAACCCAUCACCAAUAUCCAACAUGGGGAGGGAAAGGAAGUGCAUUCUCUGUCAGAUCGUAUACAGCUCCAAACAGGAGAUGGAUGAGCAUAUGAAGAGCAUGCUGCAUCAUCGGGAACUGGAGAACCUGAAGGGCCGGUGAGAACUACUGCUGAACUUACCC